GCACGCCGUAUGACCUGAAAGGGUCAUGUACGGUGUAGAGCGGGGGAAAAGGUGGAGAUAACUUCAAAGCCUUACCUAUCGCUAU
Molecule: non-coding RNA, 85 nt
Organism: Lachnospiraceae bacterium M18-1
Lineage: Bacteria; Bacillati; Bacillota; Clostridia; Lachnospirales; Lachnospiraceae
Source: Rfam